AAAAAUAUUCAAAUAGUUAAAGAAAAAAAAGAGACCGCGUCUCACGUUGACUUUCAAAAUCCCCGCGCCGGUAUAAUUCCACACGCCUUUUCUUCCUUCCCUAUCCAUUAACUUCUCUAUAUAUAUACUUCUCGUAAACCUUCUCUACUCAUCAAAACAAAUUUUAGAAUAUAUUUUUUUAAAUAACAAUAAUCAAAACAGAGAGAAGAAAAAAAAAUGGUUGAUACAGAUUGCAAGAGGAAGCUGGUGUCACCGGACUUACCUACCAAGCUCCACGUCACCAUCCCUUCGCCGUUCAAGCUCCCCGUCUCAUCCCCCAUCUCCUGCUCCGCUCCUUCCUCUUGCUCCGCCUACGAGCUCUACCUCCGUCUCCCCGAGCUCAGAAACCUCUGGUCAUCACGUGACUUCCCU
RNAcentral lists this long non-coding RNA (411 nucleotides) under Brassica rapa (field mustard). Its description in RNAcentral is "long non-coding RNA (BRAP_LNC003244)". The record is from RNAcentral. Lineage: Eukaryota; Viridiplantae; Streptophyta; Magnoliopsida; Brassicales; Brassicaceae.